RNAcentral lists this non-coding RNA (185 nucleotides) under Clostridia bacterium. Its description in RNAcentral is "T-box sequence". It matches the Rfam family "T-box leader". From Rfam's summary of the family: Uncharged tRNA acts as the effector for transcription antitermination of genes in the T-box leader family. T-boxes are found upstream of many aminoacyl-tRNA synthetase genes and some amino acid biosynthetic genes usually in Gram-positive bacteria. Lineage: Bacteria; Bacillati; Bacillota; Clostridia. The record is from RNAcentral.
ACCGAUGCGUUGAAGAAGAGGAGUAGUUAGAGCAAUUGCACUUCCAGAGAGCCGGGGAAGGAUGGAAGCCCGGCAGUGCGGCUUGAUGAAGGGCACUUUGGAGCAGAAGCUUAAAAGAGGGCUUGGAUAGUAUGUUUUCAGGCCAAAAAGGGUGGAACCGCGGAAGUAAACCUUUCGUCCCUUAU